GCGAAUAUGGUGAAAUUGGUAGACACGCUGGUUUUAGGAACCAGUGGCUUACGCCUUGGGGGUUCGAGUCCCUCUAUUCGUA
This 82-nucleotide transfer RNA is filed under the name Prasinoderma coloniale. RNAcentral's name for it is "tRNA-Leu". It matches the Rfam family "tRNA". From Rfam's summary of the family: Transfer RNA (tRNA) molecules are approximately 80 nucleotides in length. The record is from RNAcentral. Lineage: Eukaryota; Viridiplantae; Prasinodermophyta; Prasinodermophyceae; Prasinodermales; Prasinodermaceae.